AUUGAACGCUGGCGGCAUGCCUUACACAUGCAAGUCGAACGGCAGCGGGGGAGAAGCUUGCUUUUCCUGCCGGCGAGUGGCGAACGGGUGAGUAAUACAUCGGAACGUGCCCUGUAGUGGGGGAUAACUAGUCGAAAGAUUAGCUAAUACCGCCUACGACCUGAGGGUGAAAGUGGGGGACCGCAAGGCCCCAUGCUAUAGGAGCGGCCGAUGUCUGAUUAGCUAGUUGGUGGGGUAAAGGCCUACCAAGGCGACGAUCAGUAGCUGGUCUGAGAGGACGAUCAGCCACACUGGGACUGAGACACGGCCCAGACUCCUACGGGAGGCAGCAGUGGGGAAUUUUGGACAAUGGGCGAAAGCCUGAUCCAGCAAUGCCGCGUGUGUGAAGAAGGCCUUCGGGUUGUAAAGCACUUUUGUCCGGAAAGAAAUGGCUCUGGUUAACACCUGGGGUCGAUGACGGUACCGGAAGAAUAAGGACCGGCUAACUACGUGCCAGCCGCCGCCGUAA
This 508-nucleotide ribosomal RNA is filed under the name uncultured bacterium. RNAcentral describes it as "partial 16S ribosomal RNA". It matches the Rfam family "Bacterial small subunit ribosomal RNA", at positions 30 to 523 of the family's 1533-position model. The record is from RNAcentral.